CCAACCUUAAUAAUCUUGACUCUGUAAAUCGCUUAGAGGGGGCUGUAAAGCACUGUGAAGCGGUAUAUAAGUGUAAGGGCUAUUGCUACUGCUGACUAAGGACAGGAUAGGAUGAAAAACGAACAGCCUUUGCUUGAACCUUGGAAAAUCUUGACAUACAUGAGAUAUUGCCUCAUGCAGUGCUUCUCUACACAUCACUCCAAAGAUUGCCCAUCUCGGUUCCUUAGGAUGUUGAAGCAUGCCUCCUAACAUUCAGUAUGAUCCUAAUUCAUCUGGUCAUGAUGAGGUGCUACAUUUUCAUAUCUUCACCAGAAUCUUCACACCACACCAUACCCAUCAGUCGUCACCCAGGUUAAGAAGGACUGCAGUAAUUACUAUUCUUGGUUAGGGUGCUCAACAAUAAGACAAUGGGAAUCCCUGUUCCUGAGGCAGCCAGUGGCACAAGCAAAUGUCUGCAUUGUACAGCGAUCCAUUGGAUAGCCACAUGGAAUAUCAGAGGAAUGAGUCAAGAGAUUUUCUUCUGCAAGACCUUAAAGACCUGGCUCUACCAGUGGCCUGGGUACCAAAUGGGGGUGUACCACAAUGGAGAUGGCUGCUGGAUUGAUGGCAGACUCUAUCUUCUCCCCCACUCUUUAUUCGUCACCCAUCCAUCUUUUUGAUCAUCAUAUAUAGGGCUGUCCAUUCCAAGCCUACUUUAAAGACCAAGAACCAUGAGAAAAAAAUAAUCAUGAAGGUGGACUUCAAAAUGAGCAGAUACAUCCAUUUCCCUAUCAAAGUCUUGUAUAUUUUGGUGAGAAGUAUUGUUUUCUAAAUGUGUAGAGUAAUUUUUUUUAAAAAGUCAAGGUAGUGGCCACAAGGGUGUGGUCAAAGCUUCAUCACAUAAAAACAAGCAGGUCUUUA
This is a long non-coding RNA of Pantherophis guttatus, 900 nucleotides long. RefSeq lists it as uncharacterized. The record is from RefSeq and is a predicted model, not a curated record. Lineage: Eukaryota; Metazoa; Chordata; Lepidosauria; Squamata; Colubridae.